This 90-nucleotide transfer RNA is filed under the name Mycobacterium kubicae. RNAcentral's name for it is "tRNA-Ala". The record is from RNAcentral. Lineage: Bacteria; Bacillati; Actinomycetota; Actinomycetes; Mycobacteriales; Mycobacteriaceae.
GAUUUCGCAGGGCGUCUUGCCGCCCGUCGGCGCCGCUGGCGGUGGCGCGGCGACCGGCGGCGUGACCGGUUCGGCCCCCGGUUGGGGUUC